Molecule: RNA transcript, 837 nt
Organism: Zingiber officinale
Lineage: Eukaryota; Viridiplantae; Streptophyta; Magnoliopsida; Zingiberales; Zingiberaceae
Exons: 2
Source: RefSeq, a predicted model, not a curated record
AUAGAUUCUUUAGGUUUUGGAUAAAGAUCAAAUCCUUCUUGGGAGCAGCAAGGGGACGAUCCUGUACAGGUAGGAUCGAAUUAACCCCGUGGGACGCGUCCCGCCGGAUCGCUGGCUUCAUUGGCCUGUAGCCGGAAUACGAGGAGGAGGGGGAGGACGCGCUCCGGACAAGAAGUGAUGGCAGGGGCCGUAAUGGCGCUGCCUCGAACCGCCGCUAGAGGGUUCAGCGUGCAGAUGCCCGUCGCCGUCGAGCGUCCCUGCUUCGGUUCGUUCCUCGUUCCCUGCGAUCCCGGCGAAGGCGGAGUCCAGGUGCCCUUCUUUGCCCCCUUGCCGAGAAUCCAGUUACCAGAUUAACCAAAAAUAGGGUUUCAGGUUGGUCCACUAGAAGACUGCAUGGAUGAGGAGGGAGAUAUGGCAGAUGAGUUCUUGAGUGUAGCAACUGAGAUUCUCCCCGAUGAGAACCAAACAGCUCCACACAAGUUGCACACAGUACUACUACCAUAGCCAUAAGGAAUCAGGUCAUUGUUGCCGAUGGGAAAUACAUCAGAGCUUAGAAUCCUAAUCAAUAUUUAGAAUGGCAGAUUGGAAUAUCUUGAAAUGUCAUUGAGCUAUCCUCAACAUCUGGCAAUGUGCUAGGGUUUUCCAUGGUGCAUAAUGGGCGGGUGGUUCAAUUGUUUCCGCUAUGUUGUAAAACUAGAAUAAUAUGCCCUUUGAGCAUGUAUAAGUCUAUUUUUCCAAAGUAGACAAAUCAAAUGGGAAGAUCAUCUACUUUCAAGAUUAGUGUAAAGUUCGAAUAACUAGAUUAUCAAAAAGUAAAAUAGCAUGUCUUUUCGUUGA